Molecule: long non-coding RNA, 404 nt
Filed under: Gossypium barbadense (sea-island cotton)
Lineage: Eukaryota; Viridiplantae; Streptophyta; Magnoliopsida; Malvales; Malvaceae
Description: long non-coding RNA (GBAR_LNC019857)
Source: RNAcentral
UAUCUAGGAGAUUAAGAUUUAAGCGAGACCAUCUAUGACCCCACUAAUCUUUCUUGGGAAUUAAACCUAGUAUGGUUUUGCCAGUUUCUUCAGUUUUGAUUCCUUUCGAGAAGAAACAUACCAGUUGUGUUCCACCUUCUUUAUUCGAGUGUAUGAAUAUUGAAGUAUUGUGUUAACCUUGGGGGCGACGUCCACUAUAUGAUUACACCAAUCAAGGCGAAUUUGCUUCUAAGGCAAUGGUUCUUCCACGGUACAUUGAUUUCUUUAUUUAUUUUCACUAUGUUUGGUUUCUUGUGAACGCUAAUUGUUUUAUUUUGCAGUAGUAUAUUUCCAACAAUUAUUAUGUCACUUGUCACAUCCAUUAUUAUAUCCUUAAUUUUUUUUAUGCUUGCAUUCACUUCGAG